AAGUCGUAACAAGGUUUCCGUAGGUGAACCUGCGGAAGGAUCAUUAAUGAAUUCAAAGUAAAGCUGUUGCUGGCCUUUCGUGGUACUGUGCACGCUUUACAUCCAAUUCAAACCACCUGUGAACCUAAUGUAGAGUCGAGUAAAGAAUUCAAGGAAACUUGGAUGUGGGACUGCAGGUCUUUAAGAUCGGCUUUCCUUGAGCUCGGGUCUAUGUAUUACACACCCCAAUGUAUGUUAUUAGAACGUGUUAGUAGCUAUAUGCUAUAAAACAAUACAACUUUCAACAACGGAUCUCUUGGCUCUC
Molecule: unclassified non-coding RNA, 304 nt
Filed under: air metagenome
Description: partial contains small subunit ribosomal RNA, internal transcribed spacer 1, and 5.8S ribosomal RNA
Rfam family: Eukaryotic small subunit ribosomal RNA (bases 1-46)
Source: RNAcentral